UUUCUAAAGUGGGUUGGUUUGUUUGAGGAGUAUUUGAGGGAUUUGAUUGAACUUCAAUCUCAUUUUCACGAUUUGAAAGGGAUUUAGAAGAGGUAGAGGAGGAUGAUUUGGUACCUGACUUUUGAGAAGAGGAUGAACAACUUUCCAUUUUGUUCUUGUUGGCAGGUCUCUUCAAACGAGCCAUUGAAACAGAAUUGAUUUUGGGAAGAUGAACA
Molecule: long non-coding RNA, 215 nt
Filed under: Trifolium pratense (red clover)
Lineage: Eukaryota; Viridiplantae; Streptophyta; Magnoliopsida; Fabales; Fabaceae
Description: long non-coding RNA (TPRA_LNC007200)
Source: RNAcentral